This 465-nucleotide ribosomal RNA is filed under the name Vreelandella stevensii. Its description in RNAcentral is "partial 16S ribosomal RNA". It matches the Rfam family "Bacterial small subunit ribosomal RNA", at positions 338 to 795 of the family's 1533-position model. Lineage: Bacteria; Pseudomonadati; Pseudomonadota; Gammaproteobacteria; Oceanospirillales; Halomonadaceae. The record is from RNAcentral.
CCUACGGGGGGCUGCAGUGGGGAAUAUUGGACAAUGGGGGCAACCCUGAUCCAGCCAUGCCGCGUGUGUGAAGAAGGCCCUCGGGUUGUAAAGCACUUUCAGUGAGGAAGAACGCCUGGUGGUUAAUACCCAUCAGGAAAGACAUCACUCACAGAAGAAGCACCGGCUAACUCCGUGCCAGCAGCCGCGGUAAUACGGAGGGUGCGAGCGUUAAUCGGAAUUACUGGGCGUAAAGCGCGCGUAGGUGGCUUGAUAAGCCGGUUGUGAAAGCCCCGGGCUCAACCUGGGAACGGCAUCCGGAACUGUCAAGCUAGAGUGCAGGAGAGGAAGGUAGAAUUCCCGGUGUAGCGGUGAAAUGCGUAGAGAUCGGGAGGAAUACCAGUGGUGAAGGCGGCCUUCUGGACUGACACUGACACUGAGGUGCGAAAGCGUGGGUAGCAAACAGGAUUAGAUACCCCAGUAGUC